This 239-nucleotide ribosomal RNA is filed under the name uncultured bacterium. Its description in RNAcentral is "partial 16S ribosomal RNA". It matches the Rfam family "Bacterial small subunit ribosomal RNA", at positions 95 to 334 of the family's 1533-position model. The record is from RNAcentral.
CCGGCAAACGGGUGCGGAACACGUACAGAACCUUCCUUUAAGCGGGGAUAGCCCGGAGAAAUCCGGAUUAAUACCCCAUAUUAUUAUUUGGUGGCAUCACCGGGUAAUUAAAGAUUUAUCACUUAGAGAUGGCUGUGCGGCUGGUUAGGUAGUUGGUGUGGGUAACGGCUCACCAAGCCUUCGAUCAGUAACUGGUGUGAGAGCACGACCAGUCACACGGGCACUGAGACACGGGCCCG